GUAGGGAAUAUUGGGCAAUGGAGGCAACUCUGACCCAGCCAUGCCGCGUGCAGGAUGACGGCCCUCUGGGUUGUAAACUGCUUUUAUACGGGAAGAAAAAAUACUACGUGUAGUAUACUGACGGUACCGUAAGAAUAAGGAUCGGCUAACUCCGUGCCAGCAGCCGCGGUAAUACGGAGGAUCCAAGCGUUGUCCGGAUGUAUUGGGUUUAAAGGGUGCGUAGGCGGAUCUUUAAGUCAGUGGUGAAAGCCUGCAGCUUAACUGUAGAAUUGCCAUUGAAACUGAAGAUCUUGAAUGUGGUUAAAGUAGGCGGAAUGUAUCAUGUAGCGGUGAAAUGCUUAGAUAUGAUACAGAACACCGAUAGCGAAGGCAGCUUGCUGAACCAUUAUUGACGCUGAGGCACGAAAGCGUGGGGAGCGAACAGGAUUAGAAACCCUAGUAGUCC
RNAcentral lists this ribosomal RNA (445 nucleotides) under uncultured bacterium. RNAcentral describes it as "partial 16S ribosomal RNA". It matches the Rfam family "Bacterial small subunit ribosomal RNA", at positions 354 to 796 of the family's 1533-position model. The record is from RNAcentral.